RNAcentral lists this ribosomal RNA (441 nucleotides) under uncultured bacterium. RNAcentral's name for it is "bacterial SSU rRNA". It matches the Rfam family "Bacterial small subunit ribosomal RNA", at positions 340 to 774 of the family's 1533-position model. The record is from RNAcentral.
UACGGGAGGCAGCAGUGGGGAAUAUUGCACAAUGGGCGCAAGCCUGAUGCAGCCAUGCCGCGUGUAUGAAGAAGGCCUUCGGGUUGUAAAGUACUUUCAGUCGUGAGGAAGGUGUUAAGGUUAAUAACCUUAGCAAUUGACGUUAGCGACAGAAGAAGCACCGGCUAACUCCGUGCCAGCAGCCGCGGUAAUACGGAGGGUGCGAGCGUUAAUCGGAAUUACUGGGCGUAAAGGGCACGCAGGCGGUUAAUUAAGUUGGAUGUGAAAUCCCCGGGCUUAACCUGGGAAUGGCAUUCAAGACUGGUUAGCUAGAGUCUUGUAGAGGGGGUUAGAAUUCCAUGUGUAGCGGUGAAAUGCGUAGAGAUGUGGAGGAAUACCGGUGGCGAAGGCGGCCCCUGGACAAAGGCUGACGCUCAUGUGCGAAAGCGUGGGGAGCAAACG